AAUUUAGCUCAGUUGGUUAGAGCGACGGAUUGUGGUUCCGUAGGUCGUGGGUUCGAGACCCACAUU
Molecule: transfer RNA, 66 nt
Filed under: human gut metagenome
Also listed under: 1 other name
Rfam family: tRNA
About the family: Transfer RNA (tRNA) molecules are approximately 80 nucleotides in length.
Source: RNAcentral